This is a long non-coding RNA of Octopus bimaculoides (California two-spot octopus), 1628 nucleotides long. The record is from RefSeq and is a predicted model, not a curated record. Lineage: Eukaryota; Metazoa; Mollusca; Cephalopoda; Octopoda; Octopodidae.
UUGUUUUGUUUUGCUCAGGUCAAACACUUUGGUUUAACCUUUAUAUUCAACAACGGAGAUGGCGAUUUUGACCAAAAAAGAGGGUGGUUAUUACUCCCUAUCCCUACCCCGCCUCAUCCGGGCCAAAUCUACAAAUAUUUUUCUGUGUAAAUUGCAAUUGUAUCAAAAUUUGAUGUGAGAAGAAAAAUAGUGAGAUCACACGUACUUACACAAUUUUUUCGAAAUUUCAAAUUUCAUUUUGUCGGCGUACGUGUACGAGCCCACCAAAUUUGAGGCAACAAAGACGGGCGAUGGGCAUACCUGAAGGGAUGCUCUUAUUCCUUUAAAUUAGGGUUAAUUCUGUUCCCCUCUAUGACUCCUGAAAUGUUCAUUCAUUUCUUUAGGACCUAAUUCUGAAAAGAGAAAGAAAACUUUAGCGGGCUUUCUUUCGUUUUGGUUCAUCUUCUGCAGGACAGCUAUUCAUAAAGCCCGCCAAAGCUUAUUUUCAGUUCGAUUUUAUUGCCGAGUUAACAACUACUGUACUUUUUUAGGAUAGCUAUUACAUCUAUACCCACAGACUUCCCCCUUUCACUUUUUCGAUCUUGGAACAUACGGUUUGUCGAAUGUAAUUCUUAUUUAUUCACAUUGUUUUGACUUAAUCAGGCAUUAUUAUUUUGUAGCUUCGAGAUUUCGAUAUGAUUGCUUAUUUUUAGAAUCUGGCUGGUUUGAAUAUAAAACAAGUAGAUUAUGUGAGCCGAGUAUGGCCGGUUCAAAUGUUAAAGGGUUAAAAACAUUCCAAUUGUGACCAUCGCUUCCAUCUUUUUUUUAACCUAAAUCUCCUGUCACGCCUUAUUAUUUUCUAAAAUACAAUAGCUAAUACAGUUCGGGUUUAACACUGCAUAAAAUGAAUAGUUAUGGGUGGAGAUACCUUUGAUUACAGAUCUGCUAGACCAGAAGUGACCUUGGGCUAAACGACAGCGAUGGACUCGUGUGUGUGUGCUUAUGUACUGCUGUCCGUUGUCUUUUAUGUUGCUGUCACAGUUUCUAAAAUUUAAAAAUUAAGAGAACGAUUAUAUUUGUACACAUUACUGCUUAGAGCUUCUGAUCUGUUUUUGAAUACAAUAAUAUAACCCUUUAUCUGAUAGCUUCCCACUCUUUUUCUCUUCUACUUCCUCGUUCCAUCUUUUUCCGUUAAUCUGAUUCCCCAACCCUUUUUCUCUGUCUUGGGUUUUUUUCUACGACUUUCUCUCUCUCAACGUUAUUUAAUGUCUUUACUUUUUCAGAUCGAUCCAGCUUCUCGUGUUAAAACAUGACUUCAUAUAUCCUGUGAAAUGAAUACUGUGAUAUAGUAGAGUUGUUACUGCAGUCUUAACUUGAUAUAAUAUGGUGGAUAACUAUGCUAACCCAUACAUCUGGAUGGUUUAACUUAAUAGUUGUGUUAAUAUAGUAUAAACAUGAUGUCCAUUUUAUGAUAAGUCGAAGUUUAUGAUUUCGAUUCAUCUUCAGAUUGUAAAUAUCAGCAACACAGAACAAAUGAUAUGUUCAAUAUGCUUAGAGCAACUUUGGAAGAUGGUCUUUGAAUGUGGUGGACAUCUUUGUCAGAACCAUUUGUGUUGAGAAACUUUGUUAAUAAAAGGAUUAUACAUUGA